RNAcentral lists this transfer RNA (72 nucleotides) under Bos taurus (domestic cattle). It matches the Rfam family "tRNA". From Rfam's summary of the family: Transfer RNA (tRNA) molecules are approximately 80 nucleotides in length. Their secondary structure includes four short double-helical elements and three loops (D, anti-codon, and T loops). Lineage: Eukaryota; Metazoa; Chordata; Mammalia; Artiodactyla; Bovidae. RNAcentral also lists the same sequence under 1 other name. The record is from Rfam by way of RNAcentral.
UCCCUGGUGGCUCAGAUGGUAAAGCAUCUGCCUGCAAUGCAGGGGACCUGGGUUCGACCCCUAGCUUGGGAA